This 497-nucleotide ribosomal RNA is filed under the name uncultured bacterium. RNAcentral's name for it is "partial 16S ribosomal RNA". It matches the Rfam family "Bacterial small subunit ribosomal RNA", at positions 28 to 507 of the family's 1533-position model. The record is from RNAcentral.
GAUGAACGCUGGCGGCGUGCCUAAUACAUGCAAGUCGAGCGAACAGAUGAGGAGCUUGCUCCUCUGACGUUAGCGGCGGACGGGUGAGUAACACGUGGAUAACCUACCUAUAAGACUGGGAUAACUUCAGGAAACCGGAGCUAAUACCGGAUAAUAUAUUGAACCGCAUGGUUCAAUAGUGAAAGACGGUUUUGCUGUCACUUAUAGAUGGAUCCGCGCCGCAUUAGCUAGUUGGUAAGGUAACGGCUUACCAAGGCAACGAUGCGUAGCCGACCUGAGAGGGUGAUCGGCCACACUGGAACUGAGACACGGUCCAGACUCCUACGGGAGGCAGCAGUAGGGAAUCUUCCGCAAAGGGCGAAAGCCUGACGGAGCAACGCCGCGUGAGUGAUGAAGGUCUUCGGAUCGUAAAACUCUGUUAUUAGGGAAGAACAAAUGUGUAAGUAACUAUGCACGUCUUGACGGUACCUAAUCAGAAAGCCACGGCUAACUACGUG